RNAcentral lists this ribosomal RNA (455 nucleotides) under Uropeltis ellioti (Elliot's earth snake). RNAcentral describes it as "partial 12S ribosomal RNA". It matches the Rfam family "Bacterial small subunit ribosomal RNA", at positions 531 to 1343 of the family's 1533-position model. The record is from RNAcentral. Lineage: Eukaryota; Metazoa; Chordata; Lepidosauria; Squamata; Uropeltidae.
GGAUAAAGCUCCACCCAGCUGUAAAACGCCAAAGUACAACUAAAACCCACAUCCUUAACCACCUAAACCUUUUUAACUCGUGAAAACCAGGACACAAACUAGGAUUAGAUACCCUACUAUGCCCGGAUGUAACACAGCAACACCCUGCUCGCCAAAUAACUACGAGUGAAAACUUAAAACUUAAAGGACUUGACGGUACUUCACACCCAACCUAGAGGAGCCUGUCUAUUAACCGAUAAUCCACGAUUAACCCGACCGCUUCUAGCCACCCAGCCUAUAUACCACCGUCGCCAGCCUACCUUGUAAAAGAAACAAAGUAAGCUAAACAGUACUACACUAACACGACAGGUCAAGGUGUAACUAAUGAAACGGAUUAAGAUGGGCUACAUUCUCUAACCCAGAUUACACGAACAAGAUUAUGAAACUAAUCUUUAAAGGCGGAUUUAGCAGUAAGC